AUUGAACGCUGGCGGCAGGCCUAACACAUGCAAGUCGAGCGAGCGGCGGACGGGUGAGUAAUGUCUGGGGAUCUGCCUGAUGGAGGGGGAUAACUACUGGAAACGGUGGCUAAUACCGCAUACUAUCGGAUGUACCCAGAUGGGAUUAGCUAGUAGGUGGGGUAAAGGCUCACCUAGGCGACGAUCCCUAGCUGGUCUGAGAGGAUGACCAGCCACACUGGAACGGAGACACGGCCCAGACUCCUACGGGAGGCAGCAGUGGGGAAUAUUGCACAAGGGGCGCAAGCCUGAUGCAGCCAUGCCGCGUGUGUGAAGAAGGCCUUAGGGUUGUAAAGCACUUUCAGCGAGGAGGCGUUACUCGCAGAAGAAGCACCGGCUAACUCCGUGCCAGCAGCCGCGGUAAUUC
RNAcentral lists this ribosomal RNA (406 nucleotides) under uncultured bacterium. Its description in RNAcentral is "partial 16S ribosomal RNA". It matches the Rfam family "Bacterial small subunit ribosomal RNA", at positions 30 to 526 of the family's 1533-position model. The record is from RNAcentral.